UACAUCAGAUUUCCAACGUAAGCACGUUGAGCGCGGUAGCCGCUACGCAGCCUCGUAGUGCGUAGCUCCAGCUAGAAGUGGGAAUGUCUGCUAGUUGAAUGAUCAUCGGGUUGUUUGAGGCGGCAGGGAGCUUCAACGUUAUGGCAGUGCAAACACAGCAAAAGAAUCUGGAAGGAUAUGUUGGCUUUGCAAGCCUCCCCAACCAAGUGUACAGGAAGUCUGUCAAGAGGGGCUUUGAGUUCACCCUGAUGGUCGUGGGUGAGUCAGGGUUGGGCAAAUCCACGUUGAUCAACUCACUGUUCCUAACAGACCUGUAUUCAGGAGAGUAUCCUGGACCUUCACAUCGAAUCAAAAAGACUGUACAGGUGGAGCAGUCCAAAGUUUUAAUAAAGGAAGGCGGCGUCCAGCUGCUGCUCACAAUAGUCGACACCCCGGGGUUCGGAGAUGCCGUCGACAACAGCAACUGCUGGCAGCCAAUCAUCGACCACAUAGACAGCAAGUUUGAAGACUACCUGAACUCAGAAUCCCGGGUGAACAGACGACAGAUGCCUGACAGCCGAAUCCACUGUUGCCUGUACUUCAUUGCCCCCUCGGGACAUGGACUGAAGCCAUUGGAUAUUGAGUUCAUGAAACGGUUGCAUGAGAAAGUCAAUGUCAUCCCGCUGAUCGCCAAAGCAGACACCCUCACCCCAGAGGAAUGCCAACAGUUCAAGAAACAGAUCAUGCGGGAAAUCCAAGAGCAUAAAAUCAAGAUCUAUGAGUUCCCCGAGACAGAUGACGAAGAAGAGAACAGGCUGGUGAAGAAGAUAAAGGACAAGUUGCCGCUGGCUGUAGUAGGAAGCAACACCAUCAUCGAGGUGAACAGCAAGAGGGUCAGAGGGAGACAAUACCCCUGGGGGGUUGCAGAAGUUGAAAACAGUGACCACUGCGACUUCACCAUCCUCAGGGAUAUGCUCAUCAGAACUCACAUGCAGGAUCUGAAGGACGUGACAAACAACGUCCACUACGAAAACUACCGCAGCAGGAAGCUGGCUGCUGUCACCUACAACGGAGUGGACAACAACAGGGCUAAAGGUCAACUGUCCACCAAACAUGACACAGGUGAAGGAAUGAGUCCCCUGGCCCAGAUGGAGGAGGAGAGGCGAGAGCAUGUGACUAAGAUGAAGAAGAUGGAGAUGGAGAUGGAGCAGGUGUUUGAGAUGAAAGUCAAGGAAAAAGUGCAGAAGCUCAAAGACUCUGAAGCAGAGCUUCAGCGGCGUCAUGAGCAAAUGAAGAAGAACCUGGAGGCUCAGCACAGGGAGCUGGAGGAGAAGAGACGCGUGUUCGAGGAGGAGAGAGCAAACUGGGAGGUCCAGCAGCGCCUGGAGCAGCAGAAACUGGAGGCCUCCAGUUUAUCCCGUGAGCCAACACGGUGUUCCAGGGUGUGGCCGUUGCCGUGCACUAGCACUUCUAGGAGCCAUAGGUGAGAGUUGAGAGAGUAGUGAGGACCAGUGCCAGUAGUCCAUCCUGGAGGAUGAGGCUGACUUCUGAAACAAAGGACUCUGGAGAAAAACAAAAAGAAAGGCAAGAUCUUUUAAAAGACAGUCGGCAGGACCACCCCAACUCGAGUUAUUUUUGUUUGCCAAUGUUGCCGGUCAGGACACCAGUGUGUGGCACUGACAUCACCCACCUCCUCCUCCUCCUGCUCCUGCUCCUCCUCCUCCUCCUCUUUCUCCUUCUCAUUCUCCCCCUUUCUACCCCCCAUUCACCCCUCCUUGUCUCCUGUCCCUGCUCUGUCUGCCAGCACAGCUGUGCUCCUGCUCCCAGCCGCUAGAGGGGGUACUGGGGGUAUUAUGGGUGUGUGAGGAGGUGGAAGGGGGUCUGAAUGUACGGUCAGAUCCACCGCCACAGAGCCUCCCCCCCCCACGCUGCCUCGGGACUCAUCAUCAAAGCAUAAAAAAAAUAAAAAACAUUUCAGAACGGCCAAACCCAUAUUCUUAUUUUAAUUAUUAUUAUUAUUAUUAUUGAUGUUAUUAUUAUUAUUAUUAUUAUUGUUGUUGUUAUAACUGAAUACUGUCCCCGCCCCUAUUUGCUGCUCUCUUUCUUUUUUCACCCCAAGGUUGCUUUUAAAUGACUGAUGUGUACAGUUUUAUGGAGAGCAAAGACAAAAAAAAAAUCCCAUGAAUCAUGUCUGACUGUUGUACAAUCAAGUUCUGGUGAAUUCUAUUUGUUUACAGGAAAAAUGAAAGUAACCGUAUAUGAACAUUAACCUGAUCUUCCUUCGUGUAUUAAAGUAAGAAGAGGACAAGGCAUUAACUAAUCCUUUUUGUUUUGAGUGUAUCUGAUAAACCUUUAACCCUCCUGUCAGUGCGACUGAAAUAGGUGUCAACAGGAAAACCAAGAAAAACAAUAAAAUGCACCUUGGGCCUUUUUUUAUAGAUUUUAAAAAAUGGGUUUUUUUUUCUGAAAUGUAACGCUUUCUUUCUCCUCUGUGUUUAGCUAUUUCCACUAGCCUUGGACCACCAUUUAUAACGUCAUAAGUGUUAUAUUUCACUUUAGUUUAUUUUUAUAUAUACCGAGCCAGCCGAAGUAAUAACUUCUUUUGUAUGUUUAGAAAAUCCUCAGAGACUUGAGAGCAGCGUCCACUGUUUAACAGAAACACUCUUUCACAGAGAACAGUGAUCCAUCGAUGCUUUAAAGAAAAAAAAACAAUAUUUCAAUCACUCUGCGGUAACGAUCUGUGGAAAAUGAAGAGUCAACACCGCAAUUUGCUUUGGCUAUGUACUCCAUCUCUGUAUUUUUAAUUUUAUUUUUCAUUUGUAUUGUACAAAGUCACUUAAUAAACCUGUGAUGAUA
RNA transcript from Sebastes umbrosus (honeycomb rockfish), 2835 nucleotides. It is a transcript of the gene named septin 7b, with no coding region annotated. The record is from RefSeq and is a predicted model, not a curated record. NCBI's taxonomy places the organism in Eukaryota, Metazoa, Chordata, Actinopteri, Perciformes, Sebastidae. The transcript is spliced from 16 exons.